Dermochelys coriacea (leatherback sea turtle) is the source of this 13656-nucleotide RNA transcript. It is a transcript of the gene named kinesin family member 14, with no coding region annotated. The record is from RefSeq and is a predicted model, not a curated record. The transcript is spliced from 30 exons. Lineage: Eukaryota; Metazoa; Chordata; Testudines; Dermochelyidae.
AUGCCCAUAUACACAGUUCCUACUAGAAAUCACACGGAUGUGCUUGGUGUUUCUUCUUUCCAAAAAAAUACUCCACAAAAUACCUUUCCUAAAAGCAACAGGUUUGGACAGCAGCUUAAAUCACAGGGACCAGAAAAUGAAAAAGAUAAUUCACUCUCUCUCUCUCUGACUAAGACCAAAGAAAUAAAUAGGACCUAUGUGAUUUCUGCCUGUAAAAAUGCAGGUGAUUCUUCAGUUACAUUUAAACCUGAAGGUAGGUUAACUCUCCAGAGAAGAACUGGAGCAAGCAAAAUAUCCACUUCUAUUGAUAAACAGUUGGAGGAGAACACAGCACAAGAUGUUGAAAAUACCCAAACAGAUGGAAGACUUACCCUGCAGCGAUGUAUGGGGACUGGAUCAAUAGAGAAACAUAAAACCAGUAAGAACAGUGAACCUGAGAUAGAAAAUAGUGAUUCUGUUGUUGCACAGACAAACACCAAAAAUGUAUUUCCACCAGGCAUUAGUACUAACAACACCCAUUACGUUAAAUCUAGUACUCAGUUAGUUGAAGGUCAGAUGAAUGGAAAGAGAUGCUUUGAUCUGAAAAAUAAAGAUUCCCUUGCUAAUUUUAAUGGUUCAAGUGGAAAUGAGAAUAGUAAAUGUUUGAAAUACAGGACAACUAUUGCUGAUGCCAAAAUUCACAAUGAUGUUCCUAGAUCAGCACAUUUAAUAGCAACAAAACUUGUUAACAGGACCCCAGGGGUAAAGCUGAAUGAAAAAGAUAAUUUUAAUGAACUGACUGGAAAGGAAAGGAUACGAAAUUCAGUUGCUAAAUAUGGCAGUUUGGAAAGACAAAGAACACCUAGGAAAGGUGGUACAACAGAAGGAAUAAAGGCUACACCAAUGCGUGGCACUCUUCAGUAUGCCAAAAGUCCAGCUACAUCUACUCUUAAGAACAGGACUCCUUGUCUUCAAGUUGCACAGAAAAAGAACACCAAUGCAUCCAACUCUUUGUCCAUAAGUAGAAGUGCCAGGGCAGAAGGAAGUCAAAUAUUUAUGCAACCUGCUGCACUUAAAGUAGAAACUGUAGCUCAGAACGCUUUCACGGACGAAAAUCCUCUCAAAGUAGAAAACAGUAAAGUGACUGUGGCUGUGCGAGUAAGGCCCUUCAGUGACAGAGAGAGAAAAGAAAAAGCAUCCCAAGUGGUCUCCAUGAGUGGCCAGGAGACAGUUGUGCGACAUCCAGAAACAAAACAAAUGUAUGACUUCAUUUAUGACUUUUCAUUCUGGUCUUUUGACCACUGUCAUCCUAACUUUGCCAGCCAGAAGACGAUAUAUAAGGCUUUGGCAGUACCGCUCCUAGAAAGAGCCUUUGAGGGAUACAAUACCUGUCUUUUUGCUUAUGGACAGACUGGUUCUGGAAAAUCAUAUACGAUGAUGGGAUUUGGUGAAGAACUAGGAAUAAUUCCAAGAUUUUGUGAAGAUCUUUUUACUCAAAUAGCACAAAUGGACACACAACAGAUUUUGUACCAUCUUGAAAUGAGCUAUUUUGAAGUCUACAAUGAGAAAAUUCAUGAUUUGCUCAUCUUUAAAGCUGAAAAUGGACAGAAGAAACAACCUCUCCGUGUUAGAGAACAUCCAGUAUUGGGGCCAUAUGUGGAAGACUUGACAGCGAACAUGGUCAGUUCUUAUUCUGAUAUCAAGAGUUGGCUCGAGCUAGGAAAUAAACAGAGAGCAACUGCUGCCACAGGCAUGAAUGACAAGAGCUCUAGAUCUCAUUCUGUCUUCUCCCUUGUGAUGACACAGACAAAGACAGAAUUUGUGGAAGGAGAAGAGCAUGAUCAUAGGAUUACCAGUCGCAUAAAUCUAAUAGAUCUAGCAGGCAGUGAACGCUGCUCUCCAACUCAGACCAGUGAAGAGAGGCUGAAGGAGGGUGUGAGUAUUAAUAAAUCACUGCUGACUCUGGGGAAAGUUAUUUCUGCGCUUUCUGAGCAAUCUCAGAACAGAAAGAGAGCUUUCAUUCCUUAUCGGGAAUCUGUCCUUACGUGGUUAUUAAAGGAAAGCCUUGGUGGAAAUUCAAAAACGACCAUGAUUGCCACAAUAAGUCCUGCUGCCAGCAAUGUAGAGGAAACCCUUAGCACUCUGAGAUAUGCUAAACAAGCUCGUUUGAUAAUCAACACUGCCAAAGUAAAUGAAAAUGUGAAUGCUAAAUUAAUUAGAGAACUGAAAGCAGAAAUUGAGAAACUGAAAGCAGCUCGCAAAAGUACUCUAAAUACAGAUCCUGAGAAAUAUAGACAGUAUCUGCAAGAAAUAACAUCUCUAAGGGUAAAACUCCACCAACAGGAGAGGGAUAUGGCAGAGAUGCAAAGGUCGUGGAAAGAAAAAUUUGAACAAGCAGAACAAAGGAAAUUUGAAGAAACAAAGGAGUUACAGAAAGCAGGAAUUACAUUCAAGAUGGACAAUCGUUUGCCAAACCUUGUCAAUCUCAAUGAAGAUCCCCAGCUCUCUGAGAUGCUUCUGUAUAUGAUAAAAGAAGGACAAACUACAGUUGGAAAGUACAAACCAAAUUCUCAUCAUGAUAUCCAGCUCUCUGGGGUGCUAAUUGCUGAUGAUCACUGUGUUAUCAAAAAUGUUGAUGGUAGAGUGAGUAUUACGCCACUGGGAGAAGCGAAGACGUAUGUUAAUGGGAAACACAUUUCAGAGCUAACAGUUAUGCGUCACGGUGAUCGUUUGAUUCUCGGAGGAGACCAUUAUUUCAGGUUUAAUCAUCCAGUAGAGGUUCAGAAAGUAAAAAGUGGGACUACCCUUUCAUGUGAUGGGCCAAAAGAUUUCGAAUUUGCAAAAAAUGAACUGUUGGUUGCACAGAGGUCACAACUUGAAUCAGAAAUUCAAGAGGCACGACUGAAAGCCAAGGAAGAAAUGAUGCAAGGUAUACAGGUUGCAAAAGAGAUGGCUCAGCAAGAACUUAUAUCUCAAAAAAAAGUAUAUGAAAGCAAGAUAAAAUCACUAGAAGCAGAACUGAGAGAAGAAUCUCAUAAGAAAAAAAUUCAGGAAAUGAAUAACCAGCAGACUGCUAACCAAAUACAGGAACUGGAAAAAGCAAAGCAACAUCUUGAGUUGGAAGUACAUUUCAGCAAGAAGCGUCUGGAAAUGGAGACAUUCGCCACCAGACAGGCUUUAGAAGAUCAUACUAUUCGUCAUGCAAAGAUUCUUGAAGCUCUGGAGGCUGAGAAGCAGAAAAUUGCUAAAGAGAUAGAAACUCUCCAGCAGAAUCAUGGAAAUGGGAAUAAAACGACAACUAUUAAGCCUAACUGGAAUUCUAUGAAACUCUCUCUGAUGAUCCAGGAGGCCAAUACUAUUAGUAGCAAAUUAGGAAAGCACACAGUCUUCUGCAGACAUGAUGUAUCAGAACAAGGAAAUGGCAUUGGACCUUCUGUUAAAGUGCUGGUUCGUAACCUCAAGCUGGAAAUUGCAACUUUCUGGAGCCUGGAGAAGUUUGAAUAUAAGCUAGCAGCAAUGAAAGAACUCUAUGAGAGUAAUGGUAGUAACAAAGCUGAUGUAUUUUAUGAUCCUGCUGAUGAGUGGGAACCUGACCUUACAACUACAUCCGUUUCUUCCUUUUCCAGAAGGAGGAGCAGAAGUCUCAUGAAGAACAGGAGAAUUUCUGGAUGUUUGUCUGACAUAAAAUUGCAGCCAAUCCAGGAUCUACACAUGUCACACUUAUCAGGUUCAGUCAAUAAAUCCAGCAGCAUAUGUUCAAGUUCUUCUGAAUCAUUUCUACCUGGAAUUUGCAAAGAAUUAAUUGGUUCAGCUUUGGAUUUACUAGGACAGAAUCAUGAAGAAGAAAAGAGUAUAGCAGAUAGUCUCCUAACUAAUUUGCUUACUAUUUAUACUGGAGUAACUGCCAUUUCAAAUGCUUAUGAACAACAAGAUGAAGAAAGUCAAGAGAAUUUUUUCUCUCUUGAUCAUGCUACUCAGUCCUGCAGCAUAAGAAUUACCUCUGCCUUUGAACAACUUGUGGUUCUAACCAAGCAUUGGCUUAAUAGUUUCCAGAAGUGCACUGAUUCCCUAAAAAUUGAUGAAGAAUUGAGACAGGGUGUAACAAACUUGGGAGGUUAUUUACAAUUACUAUUGCAGGGUUGUUGUUCAGAUAUAUCCUCAAUGGUAACAGAAGCACACAACAAAAUAAUCCAAAUAGUGAAACAAGCAGGUAAACAUGUAGGACACUUGACAGCACUUAUAGGAUCUGACCUACACCUUUCUGAAGACACCAAAGAAGAUGCAACUAUUUCACAGGAAGAUUUUAUACUUGCCAUUUAUGAUGGAGUAGGCUCAGGACUGAAGAGUCUCUUGGAUUCUGUACAGAAAAAAACAAGAGAGAUGCAGAAAGAACUUUUGAAACAGUAUCAACAAAAUGAGAUUCAAAAUCAAAUAAAAAAUAAUGCAGUGGCUUUUGCCAGAUCCCUUGAAAAUACAAUAUCUGACUUCAAAAAGAGAGAAAUGGGAACUCAAUUAACAAAAGGAGAAUCUGCCCACCAGGAACUAAAGAAGGCAACUAAUCUUGCUUCUGAAUACUUCGAAUUAGAGCAGUGCAUAGAUAAAGUCUGUUGGAUCAUUACUACUUCAUUACAAGAUGGAAUGACCUAACCAUACAUUAAGUGGUGAGGGCUGUUGUCCGGCUUGUAGGAAAAGAACCCCCCUUAAAGGCUAGAUGGCCAGAGACUGUCUUGCUGAAGUGACUUCAGACCAGGUGAGUGUGGGGAUGCUGACGCAUCUUCCUCCCGGAAGAGAGCGGAGACUAUUUAGGUUCACACUGGCGCUAGAAAAGCCCUCUUUUACCUGGACCAGGCAGAGCAGCACCCACCUCCUGCUCAUGGGUGUAGUUAAAUACCAGAUUUUGUCAUGAUCUGCUGGUUGUUACCCUACUUGCUCCUUUCUCAAGGGGCUGGGAAGGACUUUUCCCAUCACUGACAGACUGGCCAAGAUGAAGUGGGGUUUUCUGCCUUCCCCACAAUGGGUUGGAGGCUUAGUUGGGGCGGACAUGAAACGGGGUUUAGGCUGUGAGUCUCAAACUCUAUGUAAAUGUGAGGCAGUUGUUCAAUGCAGGUACACUGUAGGAAAGGGAUACGUGAUCAGAUAAAAUGGAUUGGUAAAGGAUUUAAAGACUAUUCUUUAAGGUAAUGGAAAUGGGGGGGGGUGUUGGAGCUACUAUAACUGGUUUGGCAGUAAAAGCCCCCUUAACCAUCAUUCAAGGGUGGGGGUGAGGUCCCAGCAGUGGGUGUGCUGGGCAUGAGAAUCGGUAAAGGGCAGCAGUCUCCCCAUUCUUGCUUUAUGUACAUGAUUAUGAAAUUACUUGUGCUGUUUUUUUUUUCUGCUGGGUACUCCGACAUUUAGGAAUAAGGUUGCGGCCUAAUUAAACCACAUCUAGUGUCUCUGGUCCUUCCUUCCAGAACUUUGUGUCCCUCAGUCAGCAUCAGACUGUCUCCCUUUCUCCAGAACAGGGUGGGAGUGGGAAUCAGACAAAUUAAAAAAAAGUGUAGCAUUUUUCAUCUGUAGAUCUCUAAGUGCUAUACAAAGAUGUGUAAAUAUCUCCAUUUUGUAAAUGGAGACACUGAGACAGAGAGAUUAACUGACUUGCGCACAGUUACAUACUGAAUCAAUGGAAGAAUUGGGAUUAGAAUCCAGGUCUAAUGACAUCUUUAUGAACAGCCCCUGCUACAGGCACAGGUUCUUUAGUUCACUUUCACUCUACAACAUCUUCUGAUCUUCACUAGGACAAUGCUUAUGUUGUAUGCUCAUAAGGCUGGUCUAUAUGUGGGUUUUGUACCAAUUUAACAAUAUCCAUUUAGAAACUGAUACAAGUUAAACUAUUGCAAUCCCCCUAGUUUAGACACGAUUACAUUGGUACAAAGGUGCUUAAAUCAGUAUAGCUUAUUUCCAGAAUCUGUGUAUAGAACAGCCCUUAGAUACUAUGGUGAUAGGUGAAGUAGAAAUUAUUAUAUGUAUUACCAUACUGCCUAUGAAUCCUUCACAUAGAUUAGCCCUGCAGUUUAGUUGGAGAGUGGUCUAGCAGUAAGAAUAGAAUUGGUCCUGGAAUUCUGCUAUUACAGUACCAGGAACCCCAACAUACACUAUUGUGAACUUCCUCUUUUUGAUGGCCCUUUUUUCACUGUAUCUGAGACUAGACUUUAUUCCAUACUAUUAGCUUUCAGCAAUGGUCCAGGAAAGAUGAGACUUCAGUGAGAUAUAAAAUACAUAAAACACAUUUAUGACACAUUGCAGUGGCAAUGCUGUGGUGGUAGAUUUUGAUGUCCAGAGAAUAAAGAUAGUUCUGUGCUACGUGAUAUAGGCAACCAAUGCUGGGUCCUCAAGGAGCAUCUUCGUGUCCACAGGAGCCAUCUACAUCCAGAAGUCUAGACAUCAAUGAUCCACUUUUCUCAAAUGCGCGCACACAUAUGCAAAACAUCUCUUUAGAAUACUUUUCUUCUUCCUUCUAAUUUCUCUGCAGUCAGAUAACUCAGGCUUUCAGAGAGAAAAAUCCUCUGGCCUUUUAAUAUUCAGAAAGAAAUCCUUAAACAUUUUAUAUUGUUCUCAUUAAAGUAAAAUGUAUUAGCAGACAAUGAAAGUUCACAGCAUUGGAUAAAUAUUAAAUAAUAAAAUAGUUGCUUGGGGGGGACAGGAUCUUGUAGAUGCACUAAAUAACAAAGGAAGUUGGUUAGGACAUCAGGGAAUAAUGUGAUUUUUUUUUCCUCUCGUGUUUAGGCUUCUGGAUAUGAAACUUAUGUAAUACCAGUAUGCUGGUAGUUGGUACUGUCGCACAAUAAUGACCCUACAUAUGGAUAACAGAAAUUCCCUGUUGUGGGAGGGUCUGCAUUUUCUUAUAUCUGUUGUGGGGAAGGACUCAGUUGCAAGGAAUAUUCAAUGGGAACUUAACAAUUCUUUUGAUGAUGCAUGAGUCAGAUAAGAAUCCAUUGCUUUCCCAUAGCUGCAUUGGCUCUGCAGUCACAGCAGGAAUAAGAAGUAGUAAAACUUAUUUUUGCCACUAAAAAUGCAAGAUAGACUGAAUACGCACAGGGAGCUGACGUGUUGAGUAAAAGUGCCAUUUUUAUAGUCACUUUUCUGUUCAUAACAGCACUUGAACAGGUCUGCGUUUCUGUAAAUCAAAAUGUAUCAACAUUUCCCUUGGGAGCAUAGUGCUGUUCUUUUUAUAGCCAAAAAUGAGGUCAAUAAAAGCCAUAUUCAUACCACAUAGUAGUUUAUGACUGAGUUAUUAGACCCUUGUUAGAUUCAUCCAAUCCUGGAAUGCAAUGGAUCCCCAGUGGCAUUAUGUUUCUUUGUAAAUAAAAAGUAAAAAGCAUAUAUUCCUGUGUGUGUGUGUGUGUGUGUGCACACAUUUCUACAUCGGAUCUCCUUUCUAUUAUUUCUAUAUUUCCAAAUGUCAGUGUUCACAGCAUAUUGUUGUACCCUAUAUUCCCAAGAAGCAAAUAUCUAGGUUCGCAUUAUCUGUUGUUUUUAGUCUGUGGUUCAUCUGCUGGAAGCAAUAUUCUUUGAGUUUUUCAUAUUUUUUAUAUCAUAAAUGUACAAGAAUUCCUAUUUUAGCCAAAAAGCAAGAUCAGCUCUUACAUUUGGGUCAGGAGGAGGUGUCCUUAAGUGUGCUAAGGAAUGUCACAUGCCAUAGCGACAGCUCUGUUAACACAAUUCCUUCAAUCUGAGGAUAUUUUUAUUAAUUAUUUAAAUUGCAUUAGUGCCCACCAUGUGCUAUGUAUUUUCCAAAUACAGAGGAAGGUAUCAUCUCUGUCACAGAGUGCCCAAAUUUAAAAAAAUGGGAAAGUGGUGUUAGAGCAGAGUUGAAACUCCUUGGCUUUUCUUCCCAGAUCUGCUUCUGAUAUGAUUUUAUUCCUAGAAAUACCAGCCUCAGGAAUGAUGAUAACCUGAAUCGCACCAGCUACCAGUUUGGAGUGCUUCACAGAAGGAAGAGGAAGAUGUAACCUCGGUUGCUGUUCCCAAAACUGGCCUUCUAACCAGACCAUAGAGGUACAGUAAGUCAUGGCAGAAGUGGAUUUUAACAGGGUAAACUUGAGACAGAUGGAGAUGGCCUGCAAAGAUGCCAGAUGGGAGAAGCAGAGCUGCCAUCCAUACCCCGGAGACAGACACUAAAGGGAGGAAGACAGCAUAUUGUCUAGGUCCCCCCACGACACAUGGAUGAGCCAACAGGCCAUAGAGCUGAGAGCAUGACAAAAAGUAAGGCAGUGCCAAUGCUUUUUGUGGUGAUGGUUGUGCUACCUGACAAGUCUUCAACAGGACACACAAGUGCCUGCAAAUAUUACACUGUGUACUUGAGUAGAUUCCAAACUCUGAAAUUUGGGGGUUCUCCUUGCUACCAUGUAAUGUGUAUCUUCACAAUGCAGAGGUAUGUACUGUGUGCUUCUGAUACAUUUUUUGCCACUAUUAUUGUUGUGAUAAAUCGACAUUACAUAUUGAGAUGACAUCGCGUAUUGCAUGUUGGAUCUAAUGGAAUUUUGGCCUGGUAGGAGAGAUGAUUUAAGAUUAGCCUGAAAACUGGGCCAGUUCUGAGGUCCUGAUAAUUUGAGACAUUUGUAUUAAUAAAAUUCACCAGGAUGCAUAAACAACUCUCCAGUGCCUGGCUCUUAUGUGGAGUAUUGUUCCUGUGUAAAUGGUACAAAUGUUGCUGACCAUGAUCUGUGCUAUUUUACAGUAAUUAUUUCACCAUCUUCAAUUUGCUGAUGUAUCAGUACAUGCUGUAUACAGUGCUAGUGUUGAUGCUAUGUAAAUAAUAGGAAUUAUCAGCUAAAGCAUGUGUUGAAGUUCUAUAAAUUGCAGGAAUAUUGGAAAGUACCCAUGCAAUUCUGUGGAAACCAUGGCAAUCCUCCAAAUACUGCCACAGAACUCUAGCACCAUUACAACAUAUGUACUCGUUUACUCAAAUAAGGAAUGAUAGCUGAAAAAAGGAGGGCAUGGUAAGUUACAGACAUUAUAGAUGGGGGAGAUUUUUAAAAGUAGCAAAGAUAUUUAGGACCACAAGUCACAUCAAAAGUUAACGGGACUUGUACUUCAAAAUCCCUUUUGUGUUUUUGGAAAAUCUCCCUCUGUUUUAAACAUGACACUUCAGAGUUAUUCAUAAAGUGCAUUUAAUCCUUCCACGUGUGGUCUCAAGCAUCCAGGCUUCUGCAUAAGUGCUUUUCUUGAUACUCUGCAUCAAGCUUGUCAACACAGGGCUGAAAUCUGCUCCAUGCAGCACAGCAGCAGAGGGCAUAGGGGCUCUGAGUUUAUAACAGUCUCUAUUCCUUACUCUGAGUUCUGAGCCCAUGUCUGACUCUUAUUACAGUUCAUGGAAGUCUUUACCUUAUUUUCCUUGAACUACAUGUAGACAACUUAUGUGCGCAUUGCAUCAGUGUAUGGCCCAAUGGUUGCAAGAUAGAAAUACGUUUACAAUAAUUUUCUUUUGGGUCUCUGAUUUAUAACAUGAGAACAUCAUUAAGGUCCUGAUGCUGCAAUUGGCCUGGCGUGGGCGGACCCAGGGUCAGCAUAGGAAGGGCCUAAAUUACAUUAAUGAUGGGGAAAUUAAGGAGCAAGCCAACAAAAGAUGGGUGCAUGAAUGGUACUUAAAGUGAACAAGUGUGCUGUAAUUGGGUCCUGAGUAAACAUCAGGCGGUUAGUUCAAAACCUGCUUACGUAUCAGUGUUGAGCCUAGUAUGUGUAUGGUCACUGAGGAUGGGUGUCCUUUUAAAUCCUUGAACGUAAUUCCCAUUCAUAUCAGCGUUAACGUUAAUGGGAAGUACACGCACAUGUUAAGGAGAAAACAGACCCACCAUUAUCUAACACAUUCAGUUAUGACUUGGUUGAUAUUGUUUGGUAGGUAAUUCUGUGUAUUUCGUGGCAUAAUUUUCAUAGCAAGAUUCUAGUGUGUUAAUGUUUUACAUAGUUCUAGGACGGUGGGUUUUUUCAAUGGCACUGUCAAAGCUUAACUAUCGCAUUUGCUACACUAAAGUUUAGAUUGCAUUUCAAUAGCAAUAAACAGAUGGGAAUUUUGGUUGUCUAAAAUGAGUAUCUGUAGAAUGGGUUACAACAGACGGAAGAGGUAGAAUGUGAUCCUUUCAUUUAGAAUGAUACAAAACAUUUUAGUAAGUGAAAUUUUAACAGAAAAUAAGAUAUCCAGAAAGAAAAGCCUGUGGCUCUUUUAACUGUUUUUUAUUAUUUUUACAUUCCCAACUAAUUUUAAUAAAGUAAACAACAUGCUGUCCCUCUGACAUUUUCCUCAGAUGAACAAUUUUUCAAGAGGAUUACAGGGCUGAAUAGUCCGUUUUUGAGAGGUGGAGAAUGGUUUAGUUGGUGGGCCUGCUGUGAUUGGAAUUGAUUAAUGGGUGUUGUGAUAAGCAUGGAAACAGAUCAGUGGCAGCUUAUCCUGCUUUCAGCUGUCACAGCUGUGCCUCUUCACUCUUCUUCUAGGCCUGUAACACUCCCUGGCAGCCUUUAAAGUACCUCCUUCCCUGUGGAAUUUCUGCAAAUCAUUUACUCAGAUGCCAAGAUACCACAGAAGCAGCUGGUUCUGAGAAAAAUUUGUUCAGGCUUACAUAUUUGUUGUGGAUAAGAAUAUUACUUAGGAGAAUCUCUUCCUAUAGAAAUAGAAAACAUGAAGUGUCAUACCCUUCAGAGCAGGUCAAACUAUAUUUCUAGUGGGCUGAUGCACCUCUAGUCCAAAAAUUUUCAACCUUGCCACACUGUGAGUUUACUAGCAAGUUGACUAAAUAAUGUCACUGUUCCUGCUUGAAAGGCACUGUAAAAAAAAUCACUGAAAGUUAAUUUUAUUGUUAAUGGCUUGAUAGAAAUAACAUUACCAUCUUAUUAAAUCCUUCUAGCUACCAUUUCUGAAGCAAUGUUCAGUAAGUAUUGUAACUUCAUAACUUGACAUUUUGAAUGUAGUGGGACAAUAUUUGCUUGAUUUAUUUGUUGUGAACUUUGGCCAGUAAAACCAUCAUAUAAAUUCCGGUAGAUGGCUAAGUUUAUUGUGGUGUAAGAAAAAGGCAGAAUUAGGUGAGUGAGAGCUACAAAUCAGGGUAAGGACCUGAAUAUGCCAAUAUGCAGAUGCUUAUCUUUACUCAUGUGAGUAGUCCCAUUGACUUCACUGGAACUACUUAGGUGACUAAAGCAUGCAUAAGUGUUUGCAGGAAUGGAGCCUAAGCGUCUCAGUGAGCCUUUCUUAUUGGCCUUAUCCCCAAAAAGGGUUGAGGAGCAUGAAUAAAAUAUGUAACUGAAUAAGCAUCAAAUAUGAGAGUAAUCGUAGCAUUGUUCUGUAUUCGUUACACUUCAGCCUUAUUAGUAUUUAGAUAGUAAAUAAUAAAUAGUUUGCAGAUGAAAUACUUGGGAGUGAUGCAAUAAUUUGAUUUAAUAUUUUAAAUUGCUGAGCUCUUGUGAUCCUUUCCUUGUGGAUUCAAAUUUACCAAGAAACGCACACUUUUUAAAAAGAAAUGCUUUUGCAUAAAUCUGGGUAGGUUAAAAUUUGAUUUAAAAGCAAAUGAUGCAAAAUAAAAAGGCACUAAUUUUUGAAUGAAUGGAUUUUGAUAUCCAGUCUGUAAAUAAUUUAUCUACUCAGUUUGGGAUAGUCAUGUACAUGAGUAUAUAUAAGGGACUUCUUGCAAAUCUAUUUAUUUAAGAGAUAUUUGGUAAUUUUCCAUUGCAUGUGCAUGUUCUGGUUGUACUUGGAUUGGUUGUCUUUAAAUGACCAACACACAUUUAGUGGAAAACUAUUUCUCCAACAAACAGAUACAUUUUAACUUUUUCAUUUAAAAAAAAUUACUGAGGGGAAAAUAUUUAAGGGUCUUUUGUUUUAAAUUCAUACUAUUUAUUUAUUCUGCAAUUUUACCGUGUGUUAGCUAUAUCUUGUAAUGCCUUGUGUCAUACAAAAGCAAACAGUCAUGUUACAUUAAUGACUUGUCUGAGAUCAUAUGACUGACUGGCUAUAAUUCCAUGCCCCUUUGCUAUAAAAAAACAUGACCCUGAAUCUUAAACAGCUUUUGAAUAAAAGCACCUAAAAUUAUGAUAUGGUAACAAAGUUCACAGUAUUUAUAAAUUUGCUAUUUCAGUUAUUUUCAUUUACUGGUUUGUCCUUUGAUUUUUACUUGAUAUUUUUAAUUCAUGGUUAAAGUCACACACACUUUUUUUUUUUUCGGAGUUUACACAUGAUUAAAAUAGCAGACAGGAUUAUUUUUCCUAGCUUAAAUAUCAACAGCAGCAAAAACUUAUUUUACUGUGAAAGGAAUUAAAUAUUUGUAAAGAAUUGCUUAAUUUGUUAGGUACUAAAUUUCAGGUCCAUUCAGGAACACCUUGUUUGCAUGACAACCUAGUGUUGCUAAAGAAUGUGUUAAAUGAAGAUUUUAGUUAAAAUGUGACACAAGUGAUAGAGUGAAUUUGAUCAAAUAUUAUUCACAUGAAAUGUGAAUGUGUGGUUUUCUACAUUUUGAUCCCUUCAUCGGGGGCAGGUUCUUUAUGGCUUCAGCAUGCACUUUUGUCCUUCCUGUGAUUUCUUAUUUCAGGCUUGAUAGAGAAAGCCUCCGCUGUUGUAUCAUUUCCUUCAGUGCUAACAGCUUUUAUUCUCUUCAACAAGUGUUUACAGAAAAGUGUUGAUGCUUAUUAAUCUGUUUCUUGUCUUACAAAUGUGCUUAUGCGUGAUUUGUGGUAAAAUUGGCAUUUCUGACAGCUCUCAAUGUAAUCUGCAUAGCACUACAAGAUUGUUACAUUGAACAGAUGUGGCUUGGAGUUGUUGUUCUUUGUAAUUACCAUCAUUAAGUGAAAGCAUGUGUCAAUCAACUUUGUACUUUAAACACACCAAUCAUUUGCAAGAGUCUUGCAUCUGUAUUUCAAAUAUAAAUAUAAAAUAUUCUGUUGGUUUUAAUUUUAAUGUGAUAUUGUAUUAAACAUACAAAUACUCAAAAGAAUGCUACAGUAACAAAUCAACAGGUUCAAUAAAAGGCCUUAUUUUGGGGUCAUUUGAUCAUUAUUAUUAUUGUUGUUAUAUAGACAUGUCCUCCCUUUGCUGCGGUAGAAGUGGGUAUUUGCAUCUAAUUUUAACUGCUUAUAUUUACUCUCUGCUACAUAUCCUCAAAUUUACGAUGUUUCUCCAACUAUAGAAUUUGACUGCUCUUUUUUUUUUCAGGGUCCUCCGUGUGUCUCUCACCCAAUAUCUUCUAGAUUUUUUUUUUCAAAGUCUGAUUGGGGCGGGGGAGGGAGAAGUAGUAGUAUCAGUAGAUUAAGAUACUGUCUUUUGGGCACUAAUGUCUAAUUCAUUACCAUUGCUCAGUUCCCUCUUUCAGCUUUUUAGUGCGAUCUUUUUCCCACUGAACUCAAUAGGAAAGCCUUGUUUGUAAGCUGGAUCAAGGCAUGAACCUACAAUUUGAGUGGCUGAAAGCAAACAUAUCUCUUAUCAUGAUGACACAACAAAUGACAUUAAAGGUUUGACUUAAAACUCCUUUGCUUUUGUGAGUUUGAUUUUUCUCUUGUCCUUUGCCCUUACCACAUUCUACCUACUAUAUGUAUGGCAAGGGCCUGAGGUCAGUACAUAAUGGUAUCCACCAUGAGCCUUAUCCUGUGCUGAGCAACUUCAGCUCAGGACCAAGCACGAUCAAGUUGUGCAUGAGCAACCAUACUUAGCUUAACAUGAGG